GACGAACGCUGGCGGCGCGCUUAACACAUGCAAGUCGAACGGAAAGGCCUGCUUUCCCUUGUGGAUUGCGGGUACUCGAGUGGCGAACGGGUGAGUAACACGUGAGUGAUCUGCCCCCAACUUGGGUAUAAGCCUGGGAAACUGGGUCUAAUUCCCGAUAGGACUGCAGGGUGGUGCCUGUGGUGGAAAACGGUUUUCUAGUGGUUGGGGAUGAGCUCGCGGCCUAUCAGCUUGUUGGUGGGGUAAUGGCCUACCAAGGCGGCGACGGGGAGCCGGCCUGAGAGGGUGGACGGCCCCAUUGGGACUGAGAUCCGGCCCCGACUCCUGCGGGAGGCAGCAGUGGGGAGUAUUACACAAUGGGCGGAAGCCUGAUGCAGCGACGCCGCGUGGGGGAUGACGGCCUUCGGGUUGUAAACUCCUUUCGACCGCGAGGAAGCCACCUGGUUGGAAGGGUGGUGACGGUAGUGGUAGAAGAAGCACCGGCUAACUACGUG
RNAcentral lists this ribosomal RNA (494 nucleotides) under uncultured bacterium. Its description in RNAcentral is "partial 16S ribosomal RNA". It matches the Rfam family "Bacterial small subunit ribosomal RNA", at positions 28 to 507 of the family's 1533-position model. The record is from RNAcentral.